CCUACGGGCGGCAGCAGUGGGGAAUAUUGGACAAUGGGGGGAACCCUGAUCCAGCGACGCCGCGUGAGUGAAGAAGUAUUUCGGUAUGUAAAGCUCUAUCAGCAGGGAAGAAAGAAAUGACGGUACCUGACUAAGAAGCCCCGGCUAACUACGUGCCAGCAGCCGCGGUAAUACGUAGGGGGCAAGCGUUAUCCGGAUUUACUGGGUGUAAAGGGAGCGUAGACGGCGAUGCAAGUCUGAAGUGAAAGGCGGGGGCCCAACCCCCGGACUGCUUUGGAAACUGUAUGGCUGGAGUGCAGGAGAGGUAAGUGGAAUUCCUAGUGUAGCGGUGAAAUGCGUAGAGAUUAGGAGGAACACCAGUGGCGAAGGCGGCUUACUGGACUGUAACUGACGUUGAGGCUCGAAAGCGUGGGGAGCAAACAGGAUUAGAUACCCUUGUAGUC
RNAcentral lists this ribosomal RNA (443 nucleotides) under uncultured bacterium. RNAcentral's name for it is "partial 16S ribosomal RNA". It matches the Rfam family "Bacterial small subunit ribosomal RNA", at positions 338 to 795 of the family's 1533-position model. The record is from RNAcentral.